UACGGAGGGAGCUAGCGUUGUUCGGAAUUACUGGGCGUAAAGCGCGCGUAGGCGGCUUUGUAAGUUAGAGGGGAAAGCCUGGAGCUCAACUUCAGAAUUGCCUUUAAGACUGCAUCGCUUGAAUCCGGGAGAGGUGAGUGGAAUUCCGAGUGUAGAGGUGAAAUUCGUAGAUAUUCGGAAGAACACCAGUGGCGAAGGCGGCUCACUGGACCGGCAUUGACGCUGAGGUGCGAAAGCGUGGGGAGCAAACAGG
This 253-nucleotide ribosomal RNA is filed under the name uncultured bacterium. Its description in RNAcentral is "partial 16S ribosomal RNA". It matches the Rfam family "Bacterial small subunit ribosomal RNA", at positions 524 to 776 of the family's 1533-position model. The record is from RNAcentral.